This 107-nucleotide small nuclear RNA is filed under the name Phocoena sinus (vaquita). Lineage: Eukaryota; Metazoa; Chordata; Mammalia; Artiodactyla; Phocoenidae. The record is from RNAcentral.
GUGCUUGCUUUGGCAGCACAUAUACUAAAAUUAGAACGAUACAGAGAAGAUUAGCAUGGCCCUUGUGCAAGGAUGACAUGCAAAUUCGUGAAGCGUUCCAUGUUUUU